GACGAACGCUGGCGGCGUGCCUAACACAUGCAAGUCGAGCGAGUGAAUCUCCUUCGGGAGCGAAGCUAGCGGCGGACGGGUGAGUAACACGUGGGCAACCUGCCUCAUAGAGGGGAAUAGCCUUUCGAAAGGAAGAUUAAUACCGCAUAAGAUUGUAGCUUCGCAUGAAGUAGCAAUCAAAGGAGCAAUCCGCUAUGAGAUGGGCCCGCGGAGCGUUAGCUAGUUGGAGGGGUAACGGCCCACCAAGCCUAUGAUCGGUAGCCGACCUGAGAGGGUGAUCGGCCACAUUGGAACUGAGAUACGGUCCAAACUCCUACGGGAGGCAGCAGUGGGGAAUAUUGGGCAAUGGGGGAAACCCUGACCCAGCAACGCCGCGUGAAGGAAGAAGGUUUUCGGAUUGUAAACUUCUGUCCUUGGUGAAGAGAAGAAGACGGUAGCCAAGGAGGAAGCCCCGGCUAACUACGUGCCAGCCGCCGCGGUAA
RNAcentral lists this ribosomal RNA (482 nucleotides) under uncultured bacterium. Its description in RNAcentral is "partial 16S ribosomal RNA". It matches the Rfam family "Bacterial small subunit ribosomal RNA", at positions 28 to 523 of the family's 1533-position model. The record is from RNAcentral.